Molecule: long non-coding RNA, 969 nt
Organism: Chinchilla lanigera (long-tailed chinchilla)
Lineage: Eukaryota; Metazoa; Chordata; Mammalia; Rodentia; Chinchillidae
Exons: 4
Source: RefSeq, a predicted model, not a curated record
ACAUCUGAAACUUCACAUGAUCUAGCCUCUGCCCUUCCCUCUGGGCCAGCUCUCAGCAGAGCCCCUCUCUCUAUCUUCGGCUCUACCCUCACAGACUUCCGUGGAUUAUGCUAGUAAAGGUGACAGGGUAGCUAAGCUCCCUCCCGCCCUCAGCACCCCUCUGUCAUCAAACCCCUUUUCCAGCUGCCCCUCCUCAUGGGAGACCGGAGCACCUCCUCUUCCUCAGGAGAUGCUGGGUAGAUUUGCUUCAGAAGCUUCCAGUCUUAUGAAAUUGCCUGUGGCAUCAGCUCUCUGGGCAAGCAUAUAAUACGUGCAGCCAAUGAGAUGGGAAUAUAUUAGAUUUUCCCGCCCCUCUGUGGUCAUGUGACACAGCUCCAGCCAGUGGUUGGGCUGGAGCCUGCUGGACUCCUAAUAGAUCAAAUACUGCCCUUCCGGACCUGGGAAAAUUGCUUGGUGAAGAAGCAGCAACACGGUGACCUCUGAAGUGUUCACAUGGGCCUAGGACACCAAGGGGGACCAGGAGGUUGCCCCAGUGGCAUAGUGGAGCUGCUGGACCUUCACCAUAGGCCACCACCAGAUGCCCCAUUAGAGGAAGCUGGAGAAACCACCCCAUAAUGGCCUCUCCAAGGGCAAGGGCACAUUAGCCCCAGACUCUAAUGGACCAAGCAGCCCUGCACCACCAGACCCAACAUCACGCCAUGAACCCGGAGGGCUGCUGAGCCAGCACCGCUCCACCUGAGCUGGUGCAGUGGCUGAAGUCGGUGAACCCACAGUUACAGCAAGUAGAAGUAUCCUGCUCAGAAGCCCCAUUAUAAGCCCACAGCAUCUCCCUAAUUCCAUGGGCUCUUGUGCCCUCUCUGAGCCAAGGACUUUGGCUAGAAAAUUGCACAGAUUGGUUUCCAUACUGGUCACAGGGCCCUUAUGGGUGCAGCCUCUGGGGUAAUUUAAACAAUAAAAAAAAUAUAUGUU